Salmo salar (Atlantic salmon) is the source of this 1379-nucleotide non-coding RNA. Lineage: Eukaryota; Metazoa; Chordata; Actinopteri; Salmoniformes; Salmonidae. The record is from RefSeq and is a predicted model, not a curated record.
UGUGUACACAAUCCAGCACAAAGUGUAGCGAAGAAGGCAGUCAGGACCAGCCUAACAGAAAACAAAGUUUUCAAUACACUUUACAUCAAGGAGGCCAGUGAGUGACUGUCUGCAUUCAUGUCAGUAUAUCAACUGACCAACAGCUGUCUACAGCUGAUGAUCCUUGGAACACACACACCAGGCAGAGCCACAGCCAGUAUGAGGGGUGGAAGUCCUGCCAGCUGCUGCCUGUAUUUUUUACGAGUCACUAGAAUAUGAAGCUUCACCGAAAGAAUAGGCAAGCCCAGCCACUGACCCGGCGAGCCAGCAUUGUCAGACGCAGAUGUGAAGCAGAUGUGAUUGACGACCACAUACCCUUCACCAGGAGCAACACCAGACGAACUGGGAGCUCGACUGGACCUGUUAAGUCCUCGGCAUUGGAAACUAUGACAAGGGAGUGGUUCAGCUGACUAACGUCAUUGCUGUCUGCAGACAACCCCAGCAGCUGCUCCAGCACACGGCCCCCUCCUGCCUUCCAGUGGUUCAGCUGACUAACGUCAUUGCUGUCUGCAGACAACCCCAGCAGCUGCUCCAGCAGACGGCCCCCUCCUGCCUUCUAGUGGUUCAGCUGACUAACGUCAUUGCUGUCUGCAGGCAACCCCAGCAGCUGCUCCAGCAGACGGCCCCCUCCUGCCUUCCAGAUGUGUAACGGCUGUCUUCUGUAGAAAUGGACCAAGGCGCAGCAGGAACAACGAUCCCCAGCUGUUCCUGAUCAGGAGUCACAAGACCAACACAGAACAAUCACACACACAAGACUGCCACGUCCUGACCCCAAAACUACAACAACAGCUCCAUCUGCUGGUCAGGACGUGACAAGAUGCUACUGACCAAGCUACCCUCCAUCAGCCAGGUGGUUCUGGCUGAUGACCUGUCUCCAUUGCUGAGAAAAGCCGAUGAGGAAUAUCACUUCGUCCCCAAUAUUACUACUAAAAUGUCUAACUGUACCGAUGAGAAAGGAGGGCAGACUUAUCCAUUGUCACCCAACUGUGUUCAGUCAAGUUUACAGUGCCAAUUUGUUACCAGGCACAUGUUUAACAAGGCAUUCUGCGAAUAGAAUUACAAUACAGAAAUGUUCUUGCUCUUUAGUGAAAUUAUACCAACGUUAUGUUGGAAACCAUUAACAAGGAAAACGAGUUAUCAAGGAAAUUGUAACCCGUUUCUUGAACACCAUUGAUUCUAAGAACAAUAAGUGUUACCUGUAAGACAAUUUUUGUAUCACAGGUCUCCAAGUGUACAGUAGGUGUAUAUCCUUAAUAAAAUAAUUUGUGAUAGCUAAUUGUGCAGACUGAUUGCCAUGGCAUGGACAUGACAAUUCAGUUAAUAAAUUCAACACCAAUCUG